GACGACGCUGGCGGCGUGCCUAAUACAUGCAAGUAGGACGAGUUGCGAACGGGUGAGGAACGCGUGGUAACCUGCCUAUUAGAGGGGGAUCACUAUUGGAAACGAUAGCUAAUACCGCAUACCAUCGGAUGUGCCCAGAUGGGAUUAGCUGAUAGGGUGGGUAACGGCUGACCGAGGCGACGAUCCCUAGCGGGUGUGAGAGGAGGACGAGCCACACUGGAGCUUAGACACGGUCAAGAUGCAUCCGGGCGGCAGCAGUGGGGAAUAUUGCACAAUGGGGGCAAUCCUGAUGCAGCCAUGCCGCGUGUAUGAAGAAGGCCUUCGGGUUGUAAAGUACUUUCAGCGGGGAGGCUUUACCCGCAGAAGAAGCACCGGCUAACUCCGUGCCAGCAGCCGCGGUAAUUC
This 405-nucleotide ribosomal RNA is filed under the name uncultured bacterium. RNAcentral's name for it is "partial 16S ribosomal RNA". It matches the Rfam family "Bacterial small subunit ribosomal RNA", at positions 33 to 526 of the family's 1533-position model. The record is from RNAcentral.